UACGGAGGAUGCAAGCGUUAUCCGGAUUCAUUGGGUUUAAAGGGUCCGUAGGCGGUUUAAUAAGUCAGUGGUGAAAUCUGGUCGCUCAACGAUCAAACGGCCAUUGAUACUGUUAGACUUGAAUUAUUAGGAAGUAACUAGAAUAUGUAGUGUAGCGGUGAAAUGCUUAGAUAUUACAUGGAAUACCAAUUGCGAAGGCAGGUUACUACUAAUGGAUUGACGCUGAUGGACGAAAGCGUGGGGAGCGAACAGG
Molecule: ribosomal RNA, 253 nt
Filed under: uncultured bacterium
Lineage: Bacteria
Description: partial 16S ribosomal RNA
Rfam family: Bacterial small subunit ribosomal RNA
Source: RNAcentral